GUAAAAAAAUCAAUAAAAUAUAUUAAAAAAUAAAAUAAAUCUCUAUAUUGAAAUAAACCAGGUAUGCCUUUUAAUAAUUAAAAACUCAUGGCUGGUUUAAAGAAAGUAUCAUUGGUUUGGGGUGACAUAUCUGAACAACAGAGCUUCACCAAUCAUCAGGGGUAGACAAACUUUUAAAGGAACCAGCAUUAUUAAAUAGUAAGAGUACUCUCAAGCGCAUGUCAGAAACCAAACCCCACAGAGAAGACAGAAAAACAAGUCUCUCUCAGGCCACAAAGAAAACAACACAACCAAACAAAAAAAAAGAGAACCAGAGGCUAACAAAACAAAACGUCUCAUUUACAACAAUUUCAGAUAUAUCAACUUCUUUAAUGGAAUUUAAAUCUUCCUGAGGACAUACCAACCCAUUUCCCCCAUUUCCAAACCAGAAAGCCUACGGUUCUGCUCUGUUCCGUCCCCCCCCCAGAGCCCCAUCAUCCGAUGCCUCCUCCCCAGAGGAAACACCAAUGGCCACAUGAGGAACUCGGCACCCCUCCCACUCAUGGGCACUCUGCUGGGCCUCGCCAGCACGAGAAAGUGCAAGUGUAAGAUAUGAAAUACGAAGUAUUCCAGAGCCCCACCAGGGCAUUCAGGUAUCAAUGUCCCAUUAAGUUUCCUUCUCAGAUUUUCCCAUGGUGCCUCCAAAAAGAUUUCCAAGGUCAAACUGAUUACAGAUUAUUCUAAUACUUUAACCAAUUAACCAAAACAACCAAUACUUAGUAUUUCUGCCCAGACCUUUUCAACAUAAUCACAGUUUAAAAAAUAAAAAUGAGCUAAAUAAUAAAUGCCACAUCCUUUGGUGGAUCUCAAUUUAAAAAAAGCAAAUCUCAUUAUUCUCAAAGCUAUUUGGAAACGAACGACUGGAUGCCUUUGAGAGAAAUAUCUAAUGAGGGGAACUUCUUGCACAAAUGCCUACAAGUUCAGUUGAACUGUGAACUGGUUAAAGACUUUCUCAUUUUCAAGUGAUUAUCCAUAUUUUAUUAUUGUUUAGUGUCAUAAUGUCUCAAACUGUGUAUUAAUUUAGCCAAAAAUUGCUCAUUCCCAACUCUUACAUUCUCUGCAUCAACCCAUGCAGCCUGGACUCCAGCCUCCUGAGCAGCCUGUGCGCUCUGGUGCCCAGAGGAUCCAGACACACUGGGCGUGGCCUUUCCCACUGCAAAUGCGGUUUCUCCCACCAUGGUGCUCACUUCCUUCUCGUUUGCAUCGGCUCAGGUUUCGAAGAGUCUGCUGAAUGCAGGUCCAAUUUCUGGGAUCAUGUCGGAGGUAGUGGUGGAGCGGCCGUACUUCUGGAAGGCUUGGUGGCUGCACUGCCUUGUGAGGGAGCACGCACCAAAGGCAGCCACGAGGGGAGGGCUGAAACUGCAGGGCAGAGACAUUAGCAAGGGGCUGUGGGAGGUGGGAAGUCCUCCCUCCACGGCUUCCUCAGACAUCAGGGACCUGAAGCCACCGAGGCGCUGAUUUCCUUCCUGUUUCCACGGAGACCCCAAUUUGGCAAUUUCUCGUCUGGUAUGCCACUGAGGCAUAAGCAGCUUUACUAGAGUUAAAAUAACCAUUAGUCCUCUGAUACUGAUAUUCCCUGACAAAAGGCAUAUCAAAAAUACCUGUCCACCUGGAGAAAGGGGAGAACACAGCAGUUUUCCCCUGGUGAAAACCAGACCAGGGCUUGCGGAUUAGCAUUUAGAAGUAGGGAAUAUUCCAAACCUGAGAAUGCAGGUUCUUCCUAACAUCACUAGACUUCCGCUGUAGCUCCUGCCCAUGCGCACACGUGGCGAUGCUCUCUGCCUGCCAGGUGUGCUACACCCUCACAGGCCCAACACUGCUUUACCAGGUGUCAGGCAGGGCCCUCCAGAUCCAGGACAUCCCACCCGGCGUGCUGGCCUUCUGUCAUCAUGAAGGUUGUAGGAAGAGAAACUGAGGCUCACAGAGGGAUGGGAGCGACCAGAGUUCACUUACAAAAAGCUAAGAGCCGAAGUGGGCCAAAGCCCAGACCCUAGAAUUCUGUUCCUCAAAAACAAAACAAAA
Pipistrellus kuhlii (Kuhl's pipistrelle) is the source of this 2061-nucleotide long non-coding RNA. RefSeq lists it as uncharacterized. The record is from RefSeq and is a predicted model, not a curated record. The transcript has 2 exons. NCBI's taxonomy places the organism in Eukaryota, Metazoa, Chordata, Mammalia, Chiroptera, Vespertilionidae.